RNAcentral lists this transfer RNA (77 nucleotides) under Candidatus Zixiibacteriota bacterium. RNAcentral's name for it is "tRNA-Met". It matches the Rfam family "tRNA". From Rfam's summary of the family: Transfer RNA (tRNA) molecules are approximately 80 nucleotides in length. The record is from RNAcentral. RNAcentral also lists the same sequence under 1 other name. Lineage: Bacteria; Pseudomonadati; Candidatus Zixiibacteriota.
CGCGGGGUGGAGCAGUUUGGUAGCUCGUCGGGCUCAUAACCCGAAGGUCAGGGGUUCAAAUCCCCUCCCCGCUACCA